UGCCUCACAUAUGUGAGGCAAGCGCUCUGCCACUGAGCCACAACCCCAGCCCGUAAAUUCUCUACUUUUAAGACAAGUUUAAUUAGGGAUAAUUCUGAUAUAAUAAAACACAUCCAUGGUGAGGACACAACUCAAUGACUGUUAGUUAAGUUGAAACGAUCCUAGGUGCACCCCUAUAAUCCCAGCAGCUCAGGAGGCUGAGGCAGGAGGAUCUCAAGUUCAAAGCCAGCAUCAGCAAUUUCGUGAGGUCCUAAGCAACUCAGCAAGACCUUGUCUCUAAAUAAAAUAUAAAAAAGGGCUAAAGAUGUGGCUCAGUGAUUAAAUGCCCCUAGGUUCAAUCCAGUACCAAAACAAAAAACAGAAACAAACAAACAAAACCCCACAAAACAAAAACCUGAUCCUAGUUUGAGGGCACUUCUGCCAACCCCUUGCAUCUAGCCUGGGUCUACCUCUAUUCUACCCACUUCCUGUCUGAAGAUUUGCUUUCAAUAGAAACUUCAUGGAGCUGGAAUCAUGACAGUACAGAUGUACUGCACUCCAUAUAUGCAUUCAACCUGUACGACUUAAUUUUAGUAUUUAUUGUAAUACGUUUUCUAGCAACAACUUCACUUCAUCUUUAUUCAUCUAGGAAUGUAUUUAUUUUCCCUUCAAUUUUGAAAAAUAGUUUGAAUAUGGAAUUUUUGGCAGUUUUCCCUUUCUUUGAUCAUGUCAUUCUACUGUCUUACCUCCUCCAUAGCUUUAGGUAUGUUGUUAAUCCUGUUGUCAUCAAUAAUCAGUUGUUAAUCCUGUGUCAUCCCAUUGUGAUGAGUAACUCCUCCCCUCAAGGAGUGGUUUUCCUGUCAGGACAGAGUUUCUUAAAUCUACAGAGAGUGUGUUUCGUGGGGGGUGUGAGGUAUCAUUCGCAUAGAGCAUGAGUUGACAGUGGGAAGUCAGUUUUGGGAGGAGUGAUUCUUCUCCUGUACAGGCAGCACCUUGGAAGAGGGCUCUGCAUUUCAUUUUCUUGCACCUGCUCAGAUCAAGUCAAUCUGACCUACACUUAGAGUCAAGUUGAAACCUUGACAUGCACAUGCAGGUCACUUUAGGCUGGCUGCCUGCCUCUCCUCCUGAACACCAGCCAGUCACUACUCUGUAAUGGGAGGAAGGCACAAUCCUGACCUGCUCAACCACUAGCAGUUGUUUGCUGAACGCAGGUCACUGAAGGGCCAAUUUGCCAAGACACCUUGACCUGAUUUGUGAAUGUGUGAUUUGAUUUGUCCACACCAUUGUUUUUAGAUACAAUCUUCCUAACUGCAUUCUCCAAAUGCAACUAUAUUAUUCCUGUAAAUAGAUCUCCUGAAUGAAUUCAGUGAAUAGAUUCUUCUAAAAAAUGGGACCAUGUUCCUUUUUAACACUUGAAAGAACAAUUCACCAAAUCCACUCAUGUCACAUUCAACUGGCAAAGAAACAUUUGGAAUGAGUUUGAGACUAGAAAGCUGCCAAUGUUGAUUGCUGUUCUGCUGCAAGGGGAGGCCAGAUGGACUGUUCAACACCACUGAGAAACUUCAACUUUUAUUGCUUUUGAAAUAAUGUAUCUUUAUCAAAGCUUGGUAACCUGUUGCUAAAUCUUUUCCAUCCCCAUGGGGAUGGAUACAAUGUUAAAGUCACCAUAGUACCAUUGUCAUGCUGACUUGCCCCAUCAUCAUCUGAACUUUGUCUCAGAAGCAUUCAGAAUUUGGUUUUAUGAGAGCAUUUAACCUGCAAUUUAUGUUAUUAAUUUUACUGCUUUUCACAGUUCCCAUUACACUAAGCAAUGAACUCAGGAGAACACACCUCCUUCAUUGCUGAGUAGAAUCCCCUGGUGUUCGUGUACUGAAGGGUGAAAUUCCAGGGAGCAGGAAGCCGCAUCCCAUUAUCAGUAAGGGAAAAUGAAUGGCAUCCCUCUGUGGCACAUACUUCAGGUUGCUCUCCCUCCACACACUAGGAGGGUCUUAUUUACAAGGUAGCAAAUGCCAGGGUUGAGUAGCACAAUGGGGCCUUUCAGACUAAGCCACUUGUGUAAUAGUUUUCUCUUGCAUAGAAAACAGUCAUGUA
This 2070-nucleotide long non-coding RNA is filed under the name Marmota monax (woodchuck). The record is from RNAcentral. Lineage: Eukaryota; Metazoa; Chordata; Mammalia; Rodentia; Sciuridae.